GGGCUCAUAGCUCAGCUGGAUAGAGCAACGGCUUUCUAAGCCGUUUGUCAGGGGUUCGAAUCCCUUUGGGCUCACCA
This 77-nucleotide transfer RNA is filed under the name Clostridiales bacterium. RNAcentral's name for it is "tRNA-Arg". It matches the Rfam family "tRNA". Rfam says of the family: Transfer RNA (tRNA) molecules are approximately 80 nucleotides in length. Their secondary structure includes four short double-helical elements and three loops (D, anti-codon, and T loops). Further hydrogen bonds mediate the characteristic L-shaped molecular structure. tRNAs have two regions of fundamental functional importance: the anti-codon, which is responsible for specific mRNA codon recognition, and the 3' end, to which the tRNAs corresponding amino acid is attached (by aminoacyl-tRNA synthetases). tRNAs cope with the degeneracy of the genetic code in two manners: having more than one tRNA (with a specific anti-codon) for a particular amino acid; and 'wobble' base-pairing, i.e. permitting non-standard base-pairing at the 3rd anti-codon position. The record is from RNAcentral. Lineage: Bacteria; Bacillati; Bacillota; Clostridia; Eubacteriales.